AUGGAGAUUGUCAAAUCUGCAGUUGUUGGCGAACUUGUGAGCCGGUUCAUCUCCUUCCUGAUGAACAAGUACCACUCCAACAGCCAUGCACAAUCAGAGAAGGUGGUGGAGAGGUUGCAGCGCCUCCUGAUGAGACUCAGCACAGUCGUUGAGGAGGCAGAUGCGCGGUACAUAACCAACUCUGUGAUGCAGUUGCAGCUCAAGAUGCUCUCGGAGGCCAUGUAUGGAGGAUACAGUGUGCUGGACACCUUGCGGUACCGAACCAUCCAAGACAGUGCAGGCUUCCAUGAGGUUAGCAUUUACGACUCAUCUUGCAGCAACUUGUAUUUAGACAUUCCCCUCAAGCGUUCUCGAACAACUGAGAAGAAUGACAAGACCAUGCGCCUUGAGUCUCAUGGUUCCUUGGAAAGCUUAGAAGUCGUAGUUGCUAACAUGACAGAAUUUGUUAUGCUUCUGGAUGGAUGUGAACGCAUGUCUCGUAGACCAUACGAUGUGUAUCUUUACACUGAAAAUUUCAUGUUCGGCCGGCACGCUGAGAAGCAAAAACUCUUGAGCUUCUUGUUGCAGCACAACAACCCUCCUGGUGAUCAUGCACCGGCCGUUCUUCCAAUCAUAGGAGGUGCUGCAAUUGGAAAGAAGACAUUGGUUGCUCAUGUGUGCAGCGACGAAAGGGUUCGCUCGCGCUUCUCCUCUAUUUUGCACUUGAAUGGAGACAGCCUUUUGAAGAUACUUGACCAUGACAGGACCAUGGAAGGGAUGAUCUUGGUAGUUAUUGAGUUUGCUUCUGAUGUGGGUGACGAUGAUUGGAAAAAGUUACACUCACUUCUCAUAACAAUGGGCAGAGGAAUCAAGAUCAUCAUUGUAAGUAAACUUAAACGAUUAGCCCGGUUUAGAUCGGUGAAACCGAUUUUCCUAAGUAUUCUAUCUUACGAUGAGUUGAGGUAUCUUUUCAAGACACUUGCAUUUGGAAGCGUAGACCCGGCGGAACACCCGCGACUAGUACAAAUAGCAGAUCAAUUUGCCAAGGUAUUGCACAAUGCGCAAGCUUCACUUGUCACAAUAAAUAAGGUCGCAGAUGUAUUGAGAAGGAACCUCGAUGCUCAGUUUUGGCGUUGCAUAUUGGACAAGGGGAUAAAAAUGGCUAAAAGAAACCUCUCCAUACAUGGUGUGCACCCGAGAAUUCUUAUAGAACAAGGUCAUCCAGUGGACAUUAGUCACAUGACAGACCUUGCUUCACAUCCACUUAGCAUGACACCUUAUACAAUUAAUGCUUCAAUCGAGAAACAACCAAGUGUGACAUUUGGGGAACUUCUAACAGAUCCUAGUGUUAGACCAAAAGGAGACUUCAUUCUAAUUUCAUGGGAAUCAAGGAUACCCCCUCAUAAAUCAUUUGUUCAUUUUGUUACAAGUCAUGCUCAGGAUACACAUGAAGCUAGUGCCGUGCCAGGGAGGAAGCGACGAGGAGUGCCAGUCUAA
Molecule: ribosomal RNA, 1476 nt
Filed under: Triticum aestivum (bread wheat)
Lineage: Eukaryota; Viridiplantae; Streptophyta; Magnoliopsida; Poales; Poaceae
Description: partial small subunit ribosomal RNA
Source: RNAcentral